UAAAAGAGCUCACCUAAGAUAAAUAAAAGUUUUAAAAAAUUAUUAAAUAAAAUUUUUAGAGUAGAAAAAUAUAUUAUAAAAUACUCUAUAAGCAAGAAGCUUUUAAUAUAUUUUCACCCAUAAAAAGAGUAUACCGAUUAGGAGAAAGAGAGAGAAAGAGAGAGAGAGAGAGUUAUAUUGGUACCAUAAUAUUAAGUAAAUAUUGAAAAGUUAGGGGGGUCAAAACUAUUCAUGGUCCACAAAAAAAAACUUUGAAGGACCAUUAA
This 266-nucleotide long non-coding RNA is filed under the name Ananas comosus (pineapple). Its description in RNAcentral is "long non-coding RNA (ACOM_LNC013953)". The record is from RNAcentral. Lineage: Eukaryota; Viridiplantae; Streptophyta; Magnoliopsida; Poales; Bromeliaceae.